RNAcentral lists this ribosomal RNA (485 nucleotides) under uncultured bacterium. Its description in RNAcentral is "bacterial SSU rRNA". It matches the Rfam family "Bacterial small subunit ribosomal RNA", at positions 1 to 507 of the family's 1533-position model. The record is from RNAcentral.
AGAGUUUGAUCAGUGGCUACGAGGACGAACGCUGGCGGCGUGCUUAACACAUGCAAGUCGAACGGUAAGGCCCUUCGGGGUACACGAGUGGCGAACGGGUGAGUAACACGUGGGUGAUCUGCCCUGCACUUCGGGAUAAGCUUGGGAAACUGGGUCUAAUACCGGAUAGGACCACGGUCUGCAUGGAUUGUGGUGGAAAGCUUUUGCGGUGUGGGAUGGGCCCGCGGCCUAUCAGCUUGUUGGUGGGGUGAUGGCCUACCAAGGCGACGACGGGUAGCCGGCCUGAGAGGGUGUCCGGCCACACUGGGACUGAGAUACGGCCCAGACUCCUACGGGAGGCAGCAGUGGGGAAUAUUGCACAAUGGGCGCAAGCCUGAUGCAGCGACGCCGCGUGGGGGAUGACGGCCUUCGGGUUGUAAACCUCUUUCAGCAGGGACGAAGGGUGACUGACGGUACCUGUAGAAGAAGCACCGGCCAACUACGUG